RNAcentral lists this ribosomal RNA (842 nucleotides) under uncultured Bacillota bacterium. RNAcentral describes it as "bacterial SSU rRNA". It matches the Rfam family "Bacterial small subunit ribosomal RNA", at positions 58 to 911 of the family's 1533-position model. The record is from RNAcentral. Lineage: Bacteria; Bacillati; Bacillota.
CAAGUCGAACGAUUAAAGCUUCCUUCGGGAAGUGCAUAAAGUGGCGCACGGGUGAGUAACACGUAAGUAAUCUACCCUCGAGUGGGGAAUAACGUCCGGAAACGGACGCUAAUACCGCAUAAUGCAGCGGCACCGCAAGGUGACAGUUGUUAAAGAUUUAUUGCUUGAGGAGGAGCUUGCGGCAGAUUAGCUAGUUGGUAAGGUAAUGGCUUACCAAGGCUACGAUCUGUAUCCGGUCUAAGAGGACGGUCGGACACACUGACACUGAAUAACGGGUCAGACUCCUACGGGAGGCAGCAGUCGGGAAUUUUGGGCAAUGGGGGAAACCCUGACCCAGCAACGCCGCGUGAAGGAUGAAGUAUUUCGGUAUGUAAACUUCGAAAGAAUAGGAAGAAUUAAUGACGGUACUAUUUAUAAGGUCCGGCUAACUACGUGCCAGCAGCCGCGGUAAUACGUAGGGACCAAGCGUUGUUCGGAUUUACUGGGCGUAAAGGGCGCGUAGGCGGCGCGGUAAGUCACUUGUGAAAUCUCUGAGCUUAACUCANAACGGCCAAGUGAUACUGCAGUGCUAGAGUGUGGAAGGGGCAAUCGGAAUUCUUGGUGUAGCGGUGAAAUGCGUAGAUAUCAAGAGGAACACCUGAGGUGAAGACGGGUUGCUGGGCCAACACUGACGCUGAGGCGCGAAAGCCAGGGGAGCAAACGGGAUUAGAUACCCCGGUAGUCCUGGCCCUAAACGAUGAAUACUUGGUGUCUGGAGUUUUAAUGCUCCGGGUGCCGUCGCUAACGUUUUUAGUAUUCCGCCCUGGGGAGUACGCUCGCAGGGAGUGAAACUCAAAGGAAUU